CAGGUUUGCAGGUACGGGAUAGAUAGAGAAGGCAAGACGAGAAAAAGUCAUAUGUAUGUAAUAGUUAGUUUGUGGACAUGACAAUUGUAUUAUGAUGAAAUGUAAAAAUAUUCAGGAUGUUAUGUAAUGAGGUUAUUGAGGAUAGAGUUGUGCUUGACCAUAAUGUAUUGUUAAUCCCUUUUGUAUAUACAUGAUCUUAUGUUAUGAUGUUUAUGUAAACUAACUCAACACAGGUUGUUUUGCUUUAAGGCUUG
This 254-nucleotide long non-coding RNA is filed under the name Manihot esculenta (cassava). RNAcentral describes it as "long non-coding RNA (MESC_LNC009533)". The record is from RNAcentral. Lineage: Eukaryota; Viridiplantae; Streptophyta; Magnoliopsida; Malpighiales; Euphorbiaceae.